RNAcentral lists this ribosomal RNA (928 nucleotides) under uncultured bacterium. RNAcentral's name for it is "bacterial SSU rRNA". It matches the Rfam family "Bacterial small subunit ribosomal RNA", at positions 1 to 898 of the family's 1533-position model. The record is from RNAcentral.
CCCUUAGAGUUUGAUCCUGGCUCAGGACGAACGCUGGCGGCGUGCCUAAUACAUGCAAGUCGAACGAAGCUUUCUUUCACCGAAUGCUUGCAUUCACCGAAAGAAGCUUAGUGGCGAACGGGUGAGUAACACGUAGGCAACCUGCCCAAAAGAGGGGGAUAACACUUGGAAACAGGUGCUAAUACCGCAUAACCAUGAACACCGCAUGAUGUUCAUGUAAAAGACGGCUUUUGCUGUCACUUUUGGAUGGGCCUGCGGCGUAUUAACUUGUUGGUGGGGUAACGGCCUACCAAGGUGAUGAUACGUAGCCGAACUGAGAGGUUGAUCGGCCACAUUGGGACUGAGACACGGCCCAAACUCCUACGGGAGGCAGCAGUAGGGAAUCUUCCACAAUGGACGAAAGUCUGAUGGAGCAACGCCGCGUGAAUGAAGAAGGCCUUCGGGUCGUAAAAUUCUGUUGUCAGAGAAGAACGUGCGUGAGAGUAACUGUUCACGUAUUGACGGUGUCUGACCAGAAAGCCACGGCUAACUACGUGCCAGCAGCCGCGGUAAUACGUAGGUGGCGAGCGUUGUCCGGAUUUAUUGGGCGUAAAGGGAACGCAGGCGGUCUUUUAAGUCUGAUGUGAAAGCCUUCGGCUUAACCGAAGUAGUGCAUUGGAAACUGGAAGACUUGAGUGCAGAAGAGGAGAGUGGAACUCCAUGUGUAGCGGUGAAAUGCGUAGAUAUAUGGAAGAACACCAGUGGCGAAAGCGGCUCUCUGGUCUGUAACUGACGCUGAGGUUCGAAAGCGUGGGUAGCAAACAGGAUUAGAUACCCUGGUAGUCCACGCCGUAAACGAUGAGUGCUAAGUGUUGGAGGGUUUCCGCCCUUCAGUGCUGCAGCUAACGCAUUAAGCACUCCGCCUGGGGAGUACGGUCGCAAGACUGAA